GGAGAGAUGCCGGAGCGGUCGAACGGGGCGGUCUCGAAAACCGUUGUGCCUUUAUAGGUACCGAGGGUUCGAAUCCCUCUCUCUCCGCCA
Molecule: transfer RNA, 90 nt
Filed under: Acetobacter oryzoeni
Lineage: Bacteria; Pseudomonadati; Pseudomonadota; Alphaproteobacteria; Acetobacterales; Acetobacteraceae
Description: tRNA-Ser
Rfam family: tRNA
About the family: Transfer RNA (tRNA) molecules are approximately 80 nucleotides in length. Their secondary structure includes four short double-helical elements and three loops (D, anti-codon, and T loops).
Source: RNAcentral